UACGGAGGAUGCGAGCGUUAUCCGGCUUUAUUGGGUUUAAAGGGUGCGUAGGCGGAAUAUCAAGUCAGCGGUAAAAAUUCGGGGCUCAACCCCUUCCCGCCAUUGAAACUGGCGUUCUUGAGUGGAAGAGAAGUAUGCGGAAUGCGUGGUGUAGCGGUGAAAUGCAUAGAUAUCACGCAGAACCCCGAUUGCGAAGGCAGCAUGCCGGCUUCCGACUGACGCUGAAGCACGAAAGCGUGGGGAUCGAACAGG
Molecule: ribosomal RNA, 252 nt
Filed under: uncultured Bacteroidales bacterium
Lineage: Bacteria; Pseudomonadati; Bacteroidota; Bacteroidia; Bacteroidales
Description: partial 16S ribosomal RNA
Rfam family: Bacterial small subunit ribosomal RNA
Source: RNAcentral